This 466-nucleotide ribosomal RNA is filed under the name uncultured Desulfobulbus sp. Its description in RNAcentral is "bacterial SSU rRNA". It matches the Rfam family "Bacterial small subunit ribosomal RNA", at positions 923 to 1382 of the family's 1533-position model. The record is from RNAcentral. Lineage: Bacteria; Pseudomonadati; Thermodesulfobacteriota; Desulfobulbia; Desulfobulbales; Desulfobulbaceae.
GCACAAGCGGUGGAGUAUGUGGUUUAAUUCGAUGCAACGCGAAGAACCUUACCUGGUCUUGACAUCCCGGAGACCCUUAGGAAACUAGGGGGUGCUUCCAUCUGGAAGAAUCUGGAGACAGGUGCUGCAUGGCUGUCGUCAGCUCGUGUCGUGAGAUGUUGGGUUAAGUCCCGCAACGAGCGCAACCCUUGCCUUUAGUUGCCAGCAGGUUCGGCUGGGCACUCUAAAGGGACUGCCGGUGUUAAACCGGAGGAAGGUGGGGAUGACGUCAAGUCCUCAUGGCCUUUAUGACCAGGGCUACACACGUACUACAAUGGCCGAUACAAAGGGCAGCGACACUGCGAGGUGAAGCCAAUCCCGUAAAAUCGGUCUCAGUCCGGAUUGGAGUCUGCAACUCGACUCCAUGAAGUUGGAAUCGCUAGUAAUCGUGGAUCAGCAUGCCACGGUGAAUACGUUCCCGGGCCUU